Molecule: ribosomal RNA, 253 nt
Filed under: uncultured bacterium
Lineage: Bacteria
Description: partial 16S ribosomal RNA
Rfam family: Bacterial small subunit ribosomal RNA
Source: RNAcentral
UACGAAGGGGGCUAGCGUUGCUCGGAAUCACUGGGCGUAAAGCGCACGUAGGCGGCUUGCUAAGUCAGGGGUGAAAUCCUGGAGCUCAACUCCAGAACUGCCUUUGAUACUGGCGUCCUUGAGUCCGGGAGAGGUGAGUGGAACUGCGAGUGUAGAGGUGAAAUUCGUAGAUAUUCGCAAGAACACCAGUGGCGAAGGCGGCUCACUGGCCCGGUACUGACGCUGAGGUGCGAAAGCGUGGGGAGCAAACAGG